Molecule: ribosomal RNA, 253 nt
Filed under: uncultured prokaryote
Description: partial 16S ribosomal RNA
Rfam family: Bacterial small subunit ribosomal RNA
Source: RNAcentral
ACGUAGGGUGCAGGCGUUAAUCGGAAUUACUGGGCGUAAAGGGCGCGUAGGCGGCACGGCAAGUCAGGAGUGAAAGCCCUGGGCUCAACCCGGGAACUGCUUUUGAAACUGCCGAGCUAGAGUGCGGAAGGGGCAGCUGGAAUUCCCAGUGUAGCGGUGAAAUGCGUAGAUAUUGGGAAGAACACCUGAGGCGAAGGCGGGUUGCUGGGCCGACACUGUCGCUGAGGCGCGAAAGCCAGGGGAGCGAACGGGA